CAUAUGCAAUAUCUCGCAAACCACAUAGGAGAGGUAACCCGCAAUACGCAAUACGCAACUAGGCAAGCCCUAUGCGACUAACUCGAUCCAGAAGGCAAACCCUUGCUUUUGAAGGUGUGUUAUCAUCUUUCUUCAAAAAAAGGAAGAAGAAAAAAGUACGUCUUACAUUGAUGCAUAAGAGCCCCAGUGUUAUGAGCUAUACUUGAAUACAAAUAGUGAGAUUUCCUUCUGCUUUUAUCUGCCUCUAAGAUAUUUUCCACCAGAUGAUUUUCGAAAGAACAGCUCCACUAAGCAAAUUGGACAGGAAGUGGAUGAAGAGUUACAAGUAGUGAAGAAAUCACUCAUUGUUCUAAGACACUAUGACCAGCAUUGCAGCGAGUUUACAUGACAAGAGCGUCAACAUAUAAAGAUGCACAUAAAGGUUUCAUAGUGGGAUAUCAAGAAGGUAUUCAACAAGUCAUGGAGAAAAAUAAGGACUCUAAAUUGCAUAAGAACACUUAUGCACCUGAAGGACAAACUUAACCUCCGAAAUAAAAGUUUAUGUAGUGGGAAAAUAGGGGAAAGAGAUAACAUCGGAAAUGGUCAACGUUCAGCUCAUUGAGGGUCUUGUUUAUAAAAGUGAUUUGGCUUGACAUCAAUUGAACCUCAAUGUGUAAGGUCAAGAUCAAAUACAUAAGUCUAUCUAAUGUGCUUCUUCACCAAAUGCAUGUGGGAAAGGAGUUGUUAUUUGAGCUUUUUAGUUGCUUUUUGGAGUAAUUGGUGGCUUGAAGUGAAAUCUGUAGUUUGAUUUCAACUUUUCAAGUUUGGAUGGAGGAGGCAGGACUAGACUAAAACAGGUCAGGUGAGCCAGGACUGGAUGUAAGAUAGUUGAAAAUGACUUCCACCGAAAUAUUGCCUUCUAUUUGGUACUUUAUUCCACAUAAUAUGUGCUGCGGAUUCAAAAGCAAAAGCAUAUAAUGAUUUAGCCCUUGAAUCUAUCAUCAAGGUGUCUCGCUCGGUGUCUAGAGUCUCCUCUGAUAAAGUUUGUACAUCUCUUGCCAUCUUUAUUUGACUUUUAAUCAGCUCUCCAUUAAGAUAGUCUCAGCACUUGUAGUUCCGGACCCAUCUGUGACUGUUUGUGGGUGUUCUUAUUAGGUAUAUGUUGGCAGGGUCAUGGAAUUGGCCGCUUAAAUGAAAUCUGUCAAGCACAUGGGUCUUCAUUUGGAGCUCAUUGUUAUAAGAAUCUUCUACCAUGUCCGAUAAAUGAUAACUCUAUCAUCGUCGUGGAUCCUACAUAAGACUGAAUCAGGAAUUAUUCUAUGUUUCCUUAGUGCACGUACUGUGAUUUUGGCCUUGUUCUCGAUGGCUAGCUUCAAUUAUUAUAUGUGUGAAAUAGUUGCAAAUACCGAAUACCAAGCCAUGUGAUUUCAUUAUCCUAUCCUAAAUUAAAGUUGCUUAUAGUAAGAGUUGUCUAGGUACUUUCUCUUAGCUAAGCUUACCAUCCUCUUAAUAUAUCUGAUUAAAAAGACACAAUUUGAUCCACUUGCAGGUAAAAAAUGUAAGAACAUACUACAAAAUGUAGAGCUUGAGGAAAACUAAUGGAAGAAAAUGGUCCAUUCUGUUAUUAGAUGUAUUUUGUUACUGUGGUAAUUGACUAUUGUUGCAAGAGGGGUCCCUUUAAUCUUGUGAUAAGCCACCACCUCUAAUUUCUAUGUGUAUCUUGUGACAUCCUCCCACUUGCAGGAGCACUAAAAUCUUGCUGAGAGUCAGUAGAAGUCAAUGGGGUAUCUUUUUUUCUUGAUUCUUAAUGGUCCACUGUUUGACAUAAAAAAGUAGUACUAAUACUCAUCUAACUUUUCAUCUUUUGGUUGAUUUUAUUCUAGGCAUAGUGUCAAAAUUCUAACAAUUCAUUUGCAACUAGUGUUUUGGACAUGUGACCAGAAUGAAAAGCCUGCAUCCUGUGCUAUAUGGAAAGUGAUUGACAUGCUUCCAAAGCCGUUUUCAUGUUUCAUUUGCGGUGCCUUUGUCUUCAUUUUCUUCCAAAGUAAGCGCUUAUUACUCCGUAAGAAUUUCGCAGAAAAACAUGGACACAUAUCUCACGAUUCAGCUACAGUAUACGCGUUUACCUAAAACGUAAAUGUGAUAGUAUUUUGGAGUGAUUGGUUGCUGGAUAAUGCAUGAAUGUAGUCAUAUAUCCUGAUAAAACACUAGAAAAUGUGAAAUAUAGGAUGGUUUCUAAUGACAAUAUUGGAAUUAU
Long non-coding RNA from Solanum dulcamara, 2236 nucleotides. RefSeq lists it as uncharacterized. The transcript has 3 exons. NCBI's taxonomy places the organism in Eukaryota, Viridiplantae, Streptophyta, Magnoliopsida, Solanales, Solanaceae. The record is from RefSeq and is a predicted model, not a curated record.